Molecule: ribosomal RNA, 458 nt
Filed under: Theileria annulata
Lineage: Eukaryota; Apicomplexa; Aconoidasida; Piroplasmida; Theileriidae
Description: SSU rRNA
Rfam family: Eukaryotic small subunit ribosomal RNA
Source: RNAcentral
CGGGGCUUAAAGUCUUGUAAUUGGAAUGAUGGGAAUUUAAACCUCUUCCAGAGUAUCAAUUGGAGGGCAAGUCUGGUGCCAGCAGCCGCGGUAAUUCCAGCUCCAAUAGCGUAUAUUAAAAUUGUUGCAGUUAAAAAGCUCGUAGUUGAAUUUCUGCUGCAUUGCUUGUGUCCCUCUGGGGUCUGUGCAUGUGGCUUUUUUCGGACUGAGUUUCUUUGUCUGAAUGUUUACUUUGAGAAAAUUAGAGUGCUCAAAGCAGGCUUUCGCCUUGAAUAGUUUAGCAUGGAAUAAUAAAGUAGGACUUUGGUUCUAUUUUGUUGGUUUUAGGUACCAAAGUAAUGGUUAAUAGGAACAGUUGGGGGCAUUCGUAUUUAACUGUCAGAGGUGAAAUUCUUAGAUUUGUUAAAGACGAACUACUGCGAAAGCAUUUGCCAAGGAUGUUUUCAUUAAUCAAGAAC